RNAcentral lists this microRNA precursor (151 nucleotides) under Arabidopsis thaliana x Arabidopsis arenosa. Lineage: Eukaryota; Viridiplantae; Streptophyta; Magnoliopsida; Brassicales; Brassicaceae. The record is from RNAcentral.
GAAAGAGAUGUAUCUCUGAAUAGCCAAGGAAACUGCCUAACUGUCCGCAUUCGCAAUGUGAAGUCAAACUCGGUCUAAAGUGAUAGAUUGGUAUACAUUGCUUAUGCAAAUGCAGGCAAGUCAUCCUUGGCUACCGAAUAAAUCGCUAAUC